AGAUGCAAACUAUUGUAUCUGGAGUGGAUAAGCAAUGAGAUCCUGCUGCAUAGCACAGGCAACUAUAUCUAGUCACUUGAGAUGGAAGAUGUUGGAGGAUAAUGUCAAAAAAAGAAUUUAUGUGUAUGUGUGACUGGAUCACUUUGCUGUACAGUAGAAAAUGACAGAACGCUGUAAACCAACUAUAAUGAAAAAAAAUAAAAACCAUUAAAAAAAUGUGACCUCAGAUUCACAUGUGCAUUUAGUUAGUGAGGCCAAACCAGAUUUGGUUUCACAUUUUCUUAGGUAUUUUGAAAAUGUCAUCAAAAAUUAAAAUUCUUAACUUUUCCUUUGCUGUGUAUUACUGUUUUAUUACCUGAAUUUUCUGGGAUGAGGCCAAGAACUCUUAAAAAUUUCUUUUGUGUUCUGUGAGCUUAUAUGUCCACUAGAGGGUGCAUUUUACUCUUUUUUGACAAAAGUUUGUCUAUUGUAAUUGUGUAUUCAGUUUCAUGUGUUAACAACCAUCAGUAAGCAAAUUCCUUAAACAUGGACACUAGGAGACUGUCAUAGAAAAAUCUUAGCUCAUUAACAUGAAGCAACUAUAUGAUGAUUAAAAUAGUGGCCUCGACAUUGAACUCUAGUGGAGCACCAUGGGGUAGGGAUGCUUAGGGAAGCUUCAUGGGCAGUAUUGGACCUGGUGAGGCAUUGAACAGUCAGCCAGAGUCAAAUAGGGUAGUACAGUAGUUCUCAAACUUCUUGAUCUUGGACCCUCUCUACUCUGCUAGAAAUUAAGGUCCUUAAAGACAUUUGUUUUAGGUGGAUGGGUUAUAGGUAUCAGUAUGCAAUAGACGAGCAAAUAAAACAGAUAACUUUGAAAAUAUUUAUUUACUAUUUCAUUUACAAAUAAUAGUGGUAGGAGUUCCCGUCAUGGCUCAGCAGAUGUGAGUCAGACUGGGAACCAUGAGGUUAUGGGUUCAAUCCCUGGUCUUGCUUAGUGGAUUAAGGAUCCGGCAUUGCCGUGACCUGUGGUAUAGGUUGUGGCUUGGAUCUGGUGUGGCUGUGGCGUAGGCCAGCGGCUACAACUCCGAUUAGACCCCUAGCCUCCUUAUGCUGUGAGUGCAGCCCUAAAAAGACAAAGACCAAAAAAAAAAAAAAAAGUGGUAAACAAUUACUUGUCAAUAUGAAUGACAUUUUUUUCCAAUAAAAAUAACUAUUUCAGAGUUCCUGUCAUGGUGCAGUGGAAACGAAUCUGAGUAGGAACCAUGAGGUUGCAGGGGCAAUCCCUGGCCUUGCUCAGUGGGUUAAGGAUCUGGCAUUACCAUGAGCUGUUGUGUAGGUCACAGAUGUGGCUUGGAUCCCACGUUGCUGUGGCUGUGGUGUAGGCCAGCAGCUGUAGCUCUGAUUAGACCCCUAGCCUGGGAAACUUCAUAUUCUGCAGGGUGCAGCCCUAAAAAGACCCCCCCCCAAAAAAAACCCCAAAAAAACCCAAACUAUUUUUCUGAAACAAAAGCGCUAGCAAGAAGGAUGGUAUUAUUUUAAAUGUUUGAAGCUUUCUUUACUGUCUGGCUUAAUAGCUAAGAUUCUCAUCUGCUUUUGCAUUUAAUCUCUUGGAAUAGGUUGCUUUUGUUGAAGUAUCUAAAGAUACUUAGCCUUGUGCAGGCACGAGGUUGGAGAAGAGAGGAAAGUUUUGAUAGCUUUUCUAAUAAUUAUGGUUAUGUGAUUCUGCACCCAGACUCUCAAAUGGUAGUAUCUUAAGGGUUACUUACAAUGUGGAACCUGAAACUAAUCAGUAAACUUUAAUUUGUUUCACUAAAAUAUCCAUUGGUCCAUGGAUUUCCCUUGUGGUGCAGCAGGUGAAGGAUCUGGCGCUGUUACUGCCAUGGCUUAAGUUCAAUCUCUGACCCAGGAACUUCCACAUGCUGCAGGUAUAGCGCCUCCCCCCACCCCCCAAAUCCAUCAGUCUGCCUUGGAUUUUGAAGGACUCUUACCCAUGCAUGAUUUUGGUUCAUUGAGCUAGGUGAACCUUCCAAAUAUUGACAUGAUAAGAGAAAAAUCACAUUGGUUAAUAUCACUGCUGAUUUUAUUAGAAAAGGGUUUCAGUAUUGGGAAUUUGUCAAGUUCUUGGUAAUAGAUAGACAUUUUCCAAAAACUUAAUUUCCAUUCGAAAGCUUAAAUUUUAUCAUUAUCAAUAAAUACUAACAGUUUUCCUUGAAUUGACAGGCUCACUUCAUUUAUUUUAAGAAAAUAUUUGUGAAGUAUGCAGGUUUGAGUAACUGUUGUUAGUGACUUUUUUUCAAGUAGAAACGGGGUUCCAUGAAAGAAAAAAGCUAGUUCAGUUCAUAAGUAACUUUCCUUGGGCGUUCCCAUUGUGGCUCAGUGGUUAACAAAUCUGACUAGGAACCAUGAGGUUGCAGGUUUGAUCCCUGGCCUCGCUCAGUGGGUUAAGGAUCAGCAUUGCUGUGAGCUGUGGUGUAGGUUGCAGACACGGCUCAGAUCCCGUGUUGCUAUGGCUCUGGCGUAGGCUGGCGGCUGCAGUCCAAUUCGACCCCUAGCCUGGGAACCUCCAUUUGCCGUGGGAGUGGCCCAAGAAAUGGCAAAAAG
RNAcentral lists this long non-coding RNA (2580 nucleotides) under Sus scrofa (pig). RNAcentral's name for it is "lncRNA (ENSSSCG00065043250.1)". Lineage: Eukaryota; Metazoa; Chordata; Mammalia; Artiodactyla; Suidae. The record is from RNAcentral.